This 437-nucleotide ribosomal RNA is filed under the name uncultured bacterium. RNAcentral's name for it is "bacterial SSU rRNA". It matches the Rfam family "Bacterial small subunit ribosomal RNA", at positions 54 to 507 of the family's 1533-position model. The record is from RNAcentral.
CAUGCAAGUCGAACGGGGUAAAGACUUCGGUUUUACUUAGUGGCGAACGGGUGAGUAACGCGUGAGAAACCUGCCUUUCAGUGGGGGACAACAGUUGGAAACGACUGCUAAUACCGCAUAAUGUUAUUUGGGGGCAUCCCUGAAUAACCAAAGCUUAAUGUGCUGAAAGAUGGUCUCGCGUCUGAUUAGCUAGUUGGUGAGGUAACGGCUCACCAAGGCGACGAUCAGUAGCCGGUCUGAGAGGAUGAACGGCCACAUUGGGACUGAGAUACGGCCCAGACUCCUACGGGAGGCAGCAGUGGGGAAUAUUGGGCAAUGGGGGAAACCCUGACCCAGCAACGCCGCGUGAAGGAAGAAGGCCUUCGGGUUGUAAACUUCUUUUACCAGGGACGAAGAACGUGACGGUACCUGGAGAAAAAGCAACGGCUAACUACGUG